CAGGGGAUAUUGCACAAUGGGCGGAAGCCUGAUGCAGCAACGCCGCGUGAGUGAUGAAGGCCCUCGGGUCGUAAAACUCUUUUCAAGAGGAGGAGGAAGGACGGUACUCUUGGAAUAAGCCUCGGCUAACUACGUGCCAGCAGCCGCGGUAACACGUAGGAGGCGAGCGUUAUUCGGAUUUACUGGGCGUAAAGCGCGUGUAGGCGGCUGAUCAAGUUGGAUGUGAAAGCUCCCGGCUUAACUGGGAGAGGACGUUCAAAACUGAACAGCUUGAGUAUGAGAGAGGAAAAUGGAAUUCCGGGUGUAGUGGUGAAAUGCGUAGAUAUCCGGAGGAACACCAGUGGCGAAGGCGACUUUCUGGCUCAAGACUGACGCUCAGACGCGAAAGCUAGGGUAGCAAACGG
RNAcentral lists this ribosomal RNA (404 nucleotides) under uncultured bacterium. RNAcentral's name for it is "bacterial SSU rRNA". It matches the Rfam family "Bacterial small subunit ribosomal RNA", at positions 355 to 775 of the family's 1533-position model. The record is from RNAcentral.